Non-coding RNA from Aegilops tauschii subsp. strangulata, 492 nucleotides. NCBI's taxonomy places the organism in Eukaryota, Viridiplantae, Streptophyta, Magnoliopsida, Poales, Poaceae. The record is from RefSeq and is a predicted model, not a curated record.
UACAAAUCAUGCUGAAUGGAAAAGUUUAGUAUCUCUAGAUGAUUUCGAUGAUGAGACAGCAGACGAUCAAUGACUGAACUGGAGGAUGCUGUUUUACUAGGUACAAGAUAUGUGAAGACAUUUCUUCAGUUUGCUGCAACGUUUCAGGCAAAUACCUUUUCGCUGGAUCCAAAGGUCCACAGGGCUCCAGGAUUUACUCUUGUCGCUGACCGUCCGUCUUACUUUACGGUUGGGUAAAACUGGUGUACCUAUAAGAUGGCCGGGUUGUGGCCUAGCUUGGCAUUGUUGCAUCCUACCUAUACGUACACGGCUUUGCCGAUAGACAAUAUACAGCCCGAUCUGGGUGUCCUUCCUUGAUUUGCUUCGAUCCCACCUGUAGAAAUCGAAUUGAAAUCGACUUGGAACCCACUUGUUACUGUUCAAGAGGGUUGUUUCCUCUGUUUUUACGCUACUCUCCCAAACGCUCAUUCAUGCACUUUUCCUUGGGUUGUA